UACGAAGGGGGCUAGCGUUGCUCGGAAUCACUGGGCGUAAAGCGCACGUAGGCGGAUUGUUAAGUCAGGGGUGAAAUCCUGGAGCUCAACUCCAGAACUGCCUUUGAUACUGGCGAUCUCGAGUCCGGGAGAGGUGAGUGGAACUGCGAGUGUAGAGGUGAAAUUCGUAGAUAUUCGCAAGAACACCAGUGGCGAAGGCGGCUCACUGGCCCGAUACCGACGCUGAGGUGCGAAAGCGUGGGGAGCAAACAGG
This 253-nucleotide ribosomal RNA is filed under the name uncultured bacterium. Its description in RNAcentral is "partial 16S ribosomal RNA". It matches the Rfam family "Bacterial small subunit ribosomal RNA", at positions 524 to 776 of the family's 1533-position model. The record is from RNAcentral.